CUGAGUACGGCGGAACACGUGAAAUUCCGUCGGAAUCCGGGAGGACCAUCUCCCAAGGCUAAAUACUCCCUAGUGACCGAUAGUGAACCAGUACCGUGAGGGAAAGGUGAAAAGCACCCCGGAAGGGGAGUGAAACAGUUCCUGAAACCGUGUGCCUACAAGUAGUUAGAGCCCGUUAAUGGGUGAUAGCGUGCCUUUUGUAGAAUGAACCGGCGAGUUACGAUUUGUUGCAAGGUUAAGCGGAAAAAGCGGAGCCGUAGCGAAAGCGAGUCUGAAUAGGGCGCAUAAGUAACAGGUCGUAGACCCGAAACCAGGUGAUCUACCCAUGUCCAGGAUGAAGGUAAGGUAAUACUUACUGGAGGUCCGAACCCACGCACGUUGAAAAGUGCGGGGAUGAGGUGUGGGUAGCGGAGAAAUUCCAAUCGAACUUGGAGAUAGCUGGUUCUCUCCGAAAUAGCUUUAGGGCUAGCCUCGAGGUAAAGAGUCAUGGAGGUAGAGCACUGUUUGGACUAGGGGCCCUUCUCGGGUUACCGAAUUCAGAUAAACUCCGAAUGCCAUGUACUUAUACUCGGGAGUCAGACUGCGAGUGAUAAGAUCCGUAGUCGAAAGGGAAACAGCCCAGACCACCAGUUAAGGUCCCCAAAUAUAUGUUAAGUGGAAAAGGAUGUGGGGUUGCUUAGACAACCAGGAUGUUGGCUUAGAAGCAGCCACCAUUGAAAGAGUGCGUAAUAGCUCACUGGUCGAGUGACCCCGCGCCGAAAAUGUACCGGGGCUAAACAUAUUACCGAAACUGUGGAUGAACCUCUUCGGAGGUUCGUGGUAGGAGAGCGUUCUAAGGGCGGUGAAGUCAGACCGGAAGGACUGGUGGAGCGCUUAGAAGUGAGAAUGCCGGUAUGAGUAGCGAAAGAAGGGUGAGAAUCCCUUCCACCGAAUAUCUAAGGUUUCCUGAGGAAGGCUCGUCCGCUCAGGGUUAGUCGGGACCUAAGCCGAGGCCGAUAGGCGUAGGCGAUGGACAACAGGUAGAGAUUCCUGUACCAGUGCUAAUUGUUUAACCGAUGGGGUGACACAGAAGGAUAGGGAAUCGCACGAAUGGAAAUGUGCGUCCAAGCAGUGAGUGUGAGAAGUAGGCAAAUCCGCUUCUCGCGAAGCAUGAGCUGUGAUGGGGAAGGAAAUUAAGUACGGAAGUUCCUGAUUUCACGCUGUCAAGAAAAGCCUCUAGGAAGAGUAGUACUGCCCGUACCGCAAACCGACACAGGUAGAUGAGGAGAGAAUCCUAAGGUGAGCGAGAGAACUCUCGUUAAGGAACUCGGCAAAAUGACCCCGUAACUUCGGGAGAAGGGGUGCUCUAUUAGGGUGCAAGCCCGAGAGAGCCGCAGUGAAUAGGCCCAGGCGACUGUUUAGCAAAAACACAGGUCUCUGCAAAACCGUAAGGUGACGUAUAGGGGCUGACGCCUGCCCGGUGCUGGAAGGUUAAGAGGAGUGCUUAGCUUCGGCGAAGGUACGAAUUGAAGCCCCAGUAAACGGCGGCCGUAACUAUAACGGUCCUAAGGUAGCGAAAUUCCUUGUCGGGUAAGUUCCGACCCGCACGAAAGGCGCAACGAUCUGGGCACUGUCUCAACGAGAGACUCGGUGAAAUUAUAGUACCUGUGAAGAUGCAGGUUACCCGCGACAGGACGGAAAGACCCCGUGGAGCUUUACUGCAACCUGAUAUGGAAUGUUUGUACCGCUUGUACAGGAUAGGUAGGAGCCGAAGAGACGUGUGCGCUAGCAUACGAGGAGGCAAUGGUGGGAUACUACCCUGGCUGUAUGACCAUUCUAACCCGCCACGCUUAGCGCGUGGGGAGACAGUGUCAGGUGGGCAGUUUGACUGGGGCGGUCGCCUCCUAAAGAGUAACGGAGGCGCCCAAAGGUUCCCUCAGAAUGGAUGGAAAUCAUUCGCAGAGUGUAAAGGCACAAGGGAGCUUGACUGCGAGACUGACAAGUCGAGCAGGGACGAAAGUCGGGCUUAGUGAUCCGGUGGUUCCGCAUGGAAGGGCCAUCGCUCAACGGAUAAAAGCUACCCCGGGGAUAACAGGCUUAUCUCCCCCAAGAGUCCACAUCGACGGGGAGGUUUGGCACCUCGAUGUCGGCUCGUCGCAUCCUGGGGCUGUAGUCGGUCCCAAGGGUUGGGCUGUUCGCCCAUUAAAGCGGCACGCGAGCUGGGUUCAGAACGUCGUGAGACAGUUCGGUCCCUAUCCGUCGCGGGCGCAGGAAAUUUGAGAGGAGCUGUCCUUAGUACGAGAGGACCGGGAUGGACACACCGCUGGUGUACCAGUUGUUCCGCCAGGAGCAUCGCUGGGUAGCUAUGUGUGGCAGGGAUAAACGCUGAAAGCAUCUAAGCGUGAAGCCCCCCUCAAGAUGAGAUUUCCCAUUUCUUCGGAAAGUAAGAUCCCUGAAAGAUGAUCAGGUAGAUAGGUUUGGAGUGGAAGUGUAGCGAUACAUGGAGCGGACAAAUACUAAUCGAUCGAGGACUUAACCAA
This 2519-nucleotide ribosomal RNA is filed under the name Listeria monocytogenes. RNAcentral describes it as "partial 23S ribosomal RNA". It matches the Rfam family "Bacterial large subunit ribosomal RNA", at positions 408 to 2925 of the family's 2925-position model. The record is from RNAcentral. Lineage: Bacteria; Bacillati; Bacillota; Bacilli; Caryophanales; Listeriaceae.